Molecule: transfer RNA, 71 nt
Filed under: Loxodonta africana (African savanna elephant)
Lineage: Eukaryota; Metazoa; Chordata; Mammalia; Proboscidea; Elephantidae
Rfam family: tRNA
About the family: Transfer RNA (tRNA) molecules are approximately 80 nucleotides in length.
Source: Rfam by way of RNAcentral
GCAGUGGUGGCUCAGUGGCAAAAUUCUUACCUUCCAUGCUGGAGACCCGGGUUCGAUUCCUGGCCAGUGCA